RNAcentral lists this small nuclear RNA (107 nucleotides) under Octodon degus (degu). Lineage: Eukaryota; Metazoa; Chordata; Mammalia; Rodentia; Octodontidae. The record is from RNAcentral.
GUGCUCACUUUGGCAGCACAUAUACUAAAAUUGGAACGAUACAGAGAAGAUUAGCACAGCCCCUGCGCAAGGAUGACACACAAAUUCGUGAAGCGUUCCAUAUUUUU